CCUACGGGUGGCUGCAGUCGAGAAUCUUCGGCAAUGGGCGCAAGCCUGACCGAGCGACGCCGCGUGGAGGACGAAGGCCUUCGGGUUGUAAACUCCUGUCGAGGGGGAAGAAGGUCCGCAAGGGCUUGACUGAUCCCUGGAGGAAGCACGGGCUAAGUUCGUGCCAGCAGCCGCGGUAAGACGAACCGUGCGAACGUUAUUCGGAAUCACUGGGCUUAAAGCGCGUGUAGGCGGGACGGCGCGUCGCUCUGAAAGCCCCCGGCGCAACCGGGGAACGGGCGCCGAUACGACCGUCCUCGAGGGACGUAGGGGGACCUGGAACUUCCGGUGGAGCGGUGAAAUGCGUUGAGAUCGGAAGGAACGCCCGUGGCGAAAGCGAGGUCCUGGACGUUUUCUGACGCUGAGACGCGAAAGCCAGGGGAGCGAACGGGAUUAGAUACCCGAGUAGUC
This 450-nucleotide ribosomal RNA is filed under the name uncultured bacterium. Its description in RNAcentral is "partial 16S ribosomal RNA". It matches the Rfam family "Bacterial small subunit ribosomal RNA", at positions 338 to 795 of the family's 1533-position model. The record is from RNAcentral.